RNAcentral lists this unclassified non-coding RNA (240 nucleotides) under soil metagenome. RNAcentral describes it as "partial contains 5.8S ribosomal RNA, internal transcribed spacer 2, and large subunit ribosomal RNA". The record is from RNAcentral.
AACGGUCUAUACCUGCGGUACCUGCGGAAGGAUCAUUAAAAAUGUUGAGAGAAAUUCUCAAUUUUCAUUUUUUCCCUCUCUUCUUAUAAAAAGGGAAGGGGGGAGAAAUCCAAUGUGAUCUGUCUCGUUAUAACCCACUUCUGGUUGUAAAAAGACUAGUUGCGGGAAUGAAUACACUUUAUGAAUUUUUUUUAAUAAUAUAAAAGAAAACAACUUUUAGCAAUGGAUCUCUAGAUCGGA